UUGGCCAGGCUGGUCUCAAACUCCUGAUCUCAGAUGAUCCACCCGCCUUGGCCUCCCAAAGUGCCAGGAUUACAGGUGUGAGCCACCGUGCCUGGCCAGGAAGAACUUUUAUUCGUCAAUUCCAAGCUUCUCACUAACCUCUCCCUUGAAGUUUUAAAAUAUGCACCAGGAAUCCAUUAGAGGCUAUCAUGGAGAGGCCUAAAUUUGGGAGAGGGCCCUCACUCAGAUGAGUAAGUUUACAAACAAGGCAAAUCAGGAGAACUUCCUGUAACCUCUGCCAAGCAGCCAAAGGAAGCUAAGGGGGCUGGACAGUGGGAAUGAUUAAUGAGAAGUGGGGUGAUGUGCUGUAACACAAGCUGAACAGUGAGAACAUUUCAUCUGGGGAGCUGAGGAAACCGGUUGGGACUUGGAUAUAAUCUAGCUAAAAUAGGAAGGUCACAGAAAAAUAAAUCAGGCUCAUGAAUUUGUUUAACCUGUUACCUAAUACAAGAGUGGGAACAUAACUGAAUUUGAAAACCACAAUUAUGUCAGGAGAAGAAGGUCCUGUGUAAGCAGUGCCACAGAUGACCGAAUUUGAUGCCACAGGAGAUCGAGAAGAAAUCCCCAUCUCCCUGCUUAAUAUUCACAUCAGGGCCUCACAGAUGUGUGUUCCCGGCUCAGGCCUAAAUCCUGCUGGACACAUUCUUGAAGCUGUUGUUGGGCUCAGAAAGCAAAGCUGCCAAGCAGCUGCCAACAUCGGCAGCAAUUUCAGGCAGCUAACCCCAAACCCCAUUUAUUGGCAGGAACCCAGCACAGCCCAUGUCCACCCCUUGCCCCACACCUCCUUGUGGGAUUUGCAGGUUGACUGAACACCAUAGAGAUGGAAUUGGCCAUGGCUUUUAAAGCGGGUUUGGCUUACCUGUGGCUCAAAGAAUCAAUAUUAUCUGGAAACCUGGUAAGGAUGCACCACAUUCAGCCCUAGGGCUGGGCUUCCAGGCUACCACCUGCACUGGACUUCUCCAUCUUUGGGUCCUUUAAUUCUCUCCAGUUGGUCACGAUGGCAAGCAGUAACAGCAAGUUUCCCCAUCCUCCUCCACUAACUCAUACUAUAUCAGCUUCACCAAAUAACUGGUUUCCAUAUCAGUCUGGAUUUUUAUUCUGAACUCUAGUCAAUGGUUAGCUCUACGUGGCCAUUGCUGUUUUAUUUACAGCAGUACGUAGUAUAAUUUAUUAUAAUGAUGUAUAUAUUUGUAUAAUGUAAAAACAAAAGAUAUAAAUAAUACAAAUAUAUAUGUAUUAUAACUAAUAAUAUAACAGUAUAGUACAUUUAUUACUUCAUUAUAAGCUUUAAUACCUCUUAGGACAAGCCUCAUUUCUUUCUCCCUGUGUAUUGUCUAUUUUAAAGGCUAAUUGUUUUUAAAAAAAAUCCAUUAUUUUCAUUACAAAAGAUUCUCUUGUUUUUCCAAGAAAACUAAAGUUACUGAUCUCUCUCUACAUCAUCUCACACUUUUAUUAUAUCUUCCUAUGCCUUCUGACUUUCUUAUUCAAAUAACGUAUACAUUUUUAAAAAUCGGAUCUAUUCUUUUUAUUCUGCAACUUGAAUUUUUCACUUAACGAUGUCCCACAGACAUACUGGUUCCUAUGCCAUCAUCCUCACUGCAUUGGAGAUCUCAGUAUCACUUUUUCAACUGCUGUUUUCUUCCAGGGGUUUGUUAUGAAUCAGGGCUGCAGUGGACACUCUUACAUGUAUAUGCAUGUGUAUCUUUUGAUAGUGCUGCUUUUAUUCCUCCAAGAUGUAUUGUUCAAAGUGGAAUUACUGGAUCAAAAGGAACGAGGAAACCAUUGAAAAGAAGGAUUGAAGAACUUGCCACGGGAAUGCUUGCAGAAGAAAAUGAAUUAGCUUCCUCGAAUCCAAGAGACUCAAUGUGAAAACCCUCAACCCAUCCUAAUAAAGAGAUGAGGCCAACAUGCAUUUUUGGAAGACUCUGAUUCUCAGUCCUUUGGUGAUCACUUAACUGGACAAUCAGAAACUAAUAGAAUCAACUUUUCCAAACAAGACAUACCAAGAGAAGCCCUAGCAGCUCACCUGGGUCAUUGGCUAACAAAUAUAUCACCUCUU
This is a long non-coding RNA of Cebus imitator (Panamanian white-faced capuchin), 2098 nucleotides long. RefSeq lists it as uncharacterized. The record is from RefSeq and is a predicted model, not a curated record. NCBI's taxonomy places the organism in Eukaryota, Metazoa, Chordata, Mammalia, Primates, Cebidae. The transcript has 3 exons.